AAAAAAGCCUGUGAAGUAAGAAUAUAAGUAAAUAUAUUAAUAUAUAACAAAAUCCCUUCAAGAAAAUAUUGUGACCUUUAGUUUAGUCAUGCAGUUCUAUGACAGCAGAUCUUUUUUUAUGUUAUGCAACUUUACCAUAAGUUUGACCAAAUGCAAAGCAAAUGCAAAGCAAAUGCAAAGCAAACAAUAAAAAUCAGGAAAGAGAACACA
RNAcentral lists this long non-coding RNA (210 nucleotides) under Mytilus galloprovincialis (Mediterranean mussel). The record is from RNAcentral. Lineage: Eukaryota; Metazoa; Mollusca; Bivalvia; Mytilida; Mytilidae.